CCUACGGGAGGCAGCAGUGGGGAAUAUUGGGCAAUGGGCGCAAGCCUGACCCAGCAACGCCGCGUGAAGGAAGAAGGCUUUCGGGUUGUAAACUCCUUUUCUCAGGGACGAAGCUAGUGACGGUACCUGAGGAAUAAGCCACGACCAACUUCGUGCCAGCAGCCGCGGUAAUACGGAGGUGGCAAGCGUUAUCCGGAAUUACUGGGUGUAAAGGGCGUGUAGGCGGGACUGCAAGUCAGAUGUGAAAACCACGGGCUCAACCUGUGACCUGCAUUUGAAACUGUAGUUCUUGAGUACUGGAGAGGCAGACGGAAUUCCUGGUGUAGGGGUGAAAUGCGUAGAUAUUAAGAGGAACACCAAUGGCGAAGGCGGUCUGCUGGACAACUACUGACGCUGAGGCGCGAAAGCGUGGGGAGCAAACAGGAUUAGAUACCCGGGUAGUC
RNAcentral lists this ribosomal RNA (443 nucleotides) under uncultured bacterium. RNAcentral's name for it is "partial 16S ribosomal RNA". It matches the Rfam family "Bacterial small subunit ribosomal RNA", at positions 338 to 795 of the family's 1533-position model. The record is from RNAcentral.